Molecule: non-coding RNA, 70 nt
Organism: Pangasianodon gigas (Mekong giant catfish)
Lineage: Eukaryota; Metazoa; Chordata; Actinopteri; Siluriformes; Pangasiidae
Source: the annotation of a GenBank genome assembly
UCCAUAAAUAUUGGGACAGUGACACAGUUUUGGUAAUUUUGCCUCUGUACACCACCACAGUGGAUUUGAA